GCCAGCAUAGUUUAGUGGUAGAACAACUGUUUCGUAAACAGUUAGCGCUAGUUCGAUUCUAGCUGCUGGCAC
RNAcentral lists this transfer RNA (72 nucleotides) under Tupanvirus deep ocean. RNAcentral's name for it is "tRNA-Thr". It matches the Rfam family "tRNA". Rfam says of the family: Transfer RNA (tRNA) molecules are approximately 80 nucleotides in length. The record is from RNAcentral. RNAcentral also lists the same sequence under 1 other name. Lineage: Varidnaviria; Bamfordvirae; Nucleocytoviricota; Megaviricetes; Imitervirales; Mimiviridae.